RNAcentral lists this ribosomal RNA (303 nucleotides) under uncultured bacterium. RNAcentral describes it as "partial 16S ribosomal RNA". It matches the Rfam family "Bacterial small subunit ribosomal RNA", at positions 507 to 807 of the family's 1533-position model. The record is from RNAcentral.
AGCAGCCGCCGCGGGAAAACGUAGGUGGCAAGCGUUGUCCGGAUUUAUUGGGCGUAAAGCGAGCGCAGGCGGUCAAUUAAGUCUGAUGUGAAAGCCCCCGGCUCAACCGGGGAGGGUCAUUGGAAACUGGUUGACUUGAGUGCAGAAGAGGAGAGUGGAAUUCCAUGUGUAGCGGUGAAAUGCGUAGAUAUAUGGAGGAACACCAGUGGCGAAGGCGACUCUCUGGUCUGCAACUGACGCUGAGGCUCGAAAGCGUGGGUAGCAAACAGGAUUAGAUACCCGUGUAGUCCCUGUCUCUUAUAC